UGGGGAAUCUUGCGCAAUGGGCGAAAGCCUGACGCAGCAACGCCGCGUGGGGGAUGAAGGCUCUCGGGUUGUAAACCCCUUUCAGCAGGGACGAAUCAAGACGGUACCUGCAGAAGAAGCCCCGGCUAACUACGUGCCAGCAGCCGCGGUAACACGUAGGGGGCAAGCGUUGUCCGGAUUUAUUGGGCGUAAAGAGCUCGUAGGUGGCUGAGUAAGUCGGAUGUUAAAUCCCCAGGCUCAACCUGGGACACCACCCGAUACUGCUCUGGCUAGAGUCCGGUAGGGGAGCGUGGAAUUCCUGGUGUAGCGGUGAAAUGCGCAGAUAUCAGGAGGAACACCAGCGGCGAAGGCGGCGCUCUGGGCCGGUACUGACACUGAGGAGCGAAAGCGUGGGUAGCAAACAGG
Molecule: ribosomal RNA, 405 nt
Filed under: bacterium
Lineage: Bacteria
Also listed under: 1 other name
Description: partial 16S ribosomal RNA
Rfam family: Bacterial small subunit ribosomal RNA
Source: RNAcentral